RNAcentral lists this microRNA precursor (60 nucleotides) under Capitella teleta. RNAcentral describes it as "Cte-Mir-96-P2_pre stem-loop". Lineage: Eukaryota; Metazoa; Annelida; Polychaeta; Capitellidae. The record is from RNAcentral.
CUUGGCACUGGUAGAAUUCACUGAAUUCUUUUAAGUUCAGUGAAUUACCAGUCUCAAAAA